RNAcentral lists this ribosomal RNA (262 nucleotides) under uncultured bacterium. Its description in RNAcentral is "partial 16S ribosomal RNA". It matches the Rfam family "Bacterial small subunit ribosomal RNA", at positions 1105 to 1366 of the family's 1533-position model. The record is from RNAcentral.
UUGCCCUAUGUUGCCAGCGGGUAAUGCCGGGGACUCGUAGGGGACUGCCGGAGUUAAUUCGGAGGAAGGUGGGGACGACGUCAAGUCAUCAUGCCCCUUACGUCCAGGGCUGCACGCAUGCUACAAUGGCCGGUACAAAGGGUUGCCAACCCGCGAGGGGGAGCCAAUCCCAAAAAACCGGUCUCAGUUCGGAUCGCAGUCUGCAACUCGACUGCGUGAAGUCGGAGUCGCUAGUAAUCCCGGAUCAGCACGCCGGGGUGAA